GAACCGUCCAAACGUUUAUUCGGAAUUACUGGGCUUAAAGGGUGCGUAGGCGGCGCGGUAAGUUGGGUGUGAAAUCCCUCGGCUCAACCGGGGAACUGCGCCCAAAACUACCGUGCUCGAGGGAGGCAGAGGGAAGCGGAACUGAUGGUGGAGCGGUGAAAUGCGUUGAUAUCAUCAGGAACACCGGUGGCGAAAGCGGCUUCCUGGGCCUCUUCUGACGCUGAGGCACGAAAGCUAGGGGAGCGAACGGGAUUAGAUACCCCGGUAGUCCUAGCUGUAAACGAUGAGCACUUGGUCGGAGACUCCCUCCCAUAGGUUUCCCGGCCGUAGCGAAAGUGUUAAGUGCUCCGCCUGGGGAGUAUGGUCGCAAGGCUG
RNAcentral lists this ribosomal RNA (375 nucleotides) under uncultured organism. RNAcentral's name for it is "partial 16S ribosomal RNA". It matches the Rfam family "Bacterial small subunit ribosomal RNA", at positions 527 to 896 of the family's 1533-position model. The record is from RNAcentral.